GUCCACGCUGUAAACGAUGGAUACUAGGUGUGGGAGGUAUCGACCCCUUCCGUGCCGCAGUAAACGCAAUAAGUAUCCCGCCUGGGGAGUACGGCCGCAAGGUUGAACUCAAAGGAAUUGACGGGGCCCGCACAAGCAGCGGAGCAUGUGGUUUAAUUCGAAGCAACGCGAAGAACCUUACCAGGACUUGACAUCCUCUGCAUUACUCGUAACUGAGGAAACCCUUCGGGGCAGAGAGACAGGUGGUGCAUGGUUGUCGU
RNAcentral lists this ribosomal RNA (260 nucleotides) under uncultured bacterium. Its description in RNAcentral is "partial 16S ribosomal RNA". It matches the Rfam family "Bacterial small subunit ribosomal RNA", at positions 793 to 1055 of the family's 1533-position model. The record is from RNAcentral.